Molecule: long non-coding RNA, 217 nt
Organism: Cryptomeria japonica (Japanese cedar)
Lineage: Eukaryota; Viridiplantae; Streptophyta; Pinopsida; Cupressales; Cupressaceae
Exons: 3
Source: RefSeq, a predicted model, not a curated record
UGAUUUCACUGGCAAUCAUCUUAAUGGCUCAAUACCAUCAGAAUUGGGAUCAUUGCGUCAUUUACUAAAUUUGGCACUUGGCAUAAAUAAUCUUUUUAGUCAUAUUCCAAAAGAAAUUGGAAACCUUGUGAGUUUAAAGAAAUUGGACUUAGUUUCAAACAAUCUAUAUGGACGACUACCAAAAUCACUUGUAAAUUUGACCAACCUUGAGAAAAUG